Molecule: ribosomal RNA, 253 nt
Filed under: uncultured bacterium
Lineage: Bacteria
Description: partial 16S ribosomal RNA
Rfam family: Bacterial small subunit ribosomal RNA
Source: RNAcentral
CACGUAGGGCGCAAGCGUUGUCCGGAAUUAUUGGGCGUAAAGAGCUCGUAGGCGGUCUGUUGCGUCCGCUGUGAAAUCUCGGGGCUUAACCCCGAGCCUGCAGUGGAUACGGGCAGACUAGAGGUAGGUAGGGGAGAAUGGAAUUCCCGGUGUAGCGGUGAAAUGCGCAGAUAUCGGGAGGAACACCGGUGGCGAAGGCGGUUCUCUGGGCCGUACCUGACGCUGAGGAGCGAAAGCGUGGGGAGCGAACAGG